This 215-nucleotide ribosomal RNA is filed under the name Glomeromycotina sp. RNAcentral describes it as "partial small subunit ribosomal RNA". The stretch from base 39 to 215 matches the Rfam family "Eukaryotic small subunit ribosomal RNA", at positions 686 to 864 of the family's 1831-position model. Lineage: Eukaryota; Fungi; Glomeromycota. The record is from RNAcentral.
GGUCAGUAGGUUGGUCGUGCUACCGGUACGUACUGGUCUCACUGAUUCCUCCUUCCUGAAGAACCGUAAUGCCAUUAAUUUGGUGUUGCGGGGAAACAGGACUGUUACUUUGAAAAAAUUAGAGUGUUAAAAGCAAGCUAACGCUUGAAUACAUUAGCAUGGAAUAAUGAAAUAGGACGAUCGAUCCUAUUUUGUUGGUUUCUAGGAUUGACGUA